Molecule: ribosomal RNA, 505 nt
Filed under: uncultured bacterium
Lineage: Bacteria
Description: partial 16S ribosomal RNA
Rfam family: Bacterial small subunit ribosomal RNA
Source: RNAcentral
AUUGAACGCUGGCGGCAUGCCUUACACAUGCAAGUCGAACGGCAGCGGGGGUAGCUUGCUACCUGCCGGCGAGUGGCGAACGGGUGAGUAAUACAUCGGAACGUGCCCUGUAGUGGGGGAUAACUAGUCGAAAGACUAGCUAAUACCGCAUACGACCUGAGGGUGAAAGUGGGGGACCGCAAGGCCUCAUGCUAUAGGAGCGGCCGAUGUCUGAUGUAGCUAGUUGGUGGGGUAAAGGCCCACCAAGGCGACGAACAGUAGCUGGUCUGAGAGGACGAUCAGCCACACUGGGACUGGAACACGGCCCAGACUCCUACGGGAGGCAGCAGUGGGGAAUUUUGGACAAUGGGGGCAACCCUGAUCCAGCAAUGCCGCGUGUGUGAAGAAGGCCUUCGGGUUGUAAAGCACUUUUGUCCGGAAAGAAAUCGCACUGGUUAAUACCUGGUGUGGAUGACGGUACCGGAAGAAUAAGGACCGGCUAACUACGUGCCAGCCGCCGCCGUAA